This 207-nucleotide long non-coding RNA is filed under the name Lathyrus oleraceus (garden pea). RNAcentral's name for it is "Pisum sativum (pea) long non-coding RNA (PSAT_LNC016825)". The record is from RNAcentral. Lineage: Eukaryota; Viridiplantae; Streptophyta; Magnoliopsida; Fabales; Fabaceae.
AAAAUUCUAGUACACAUUUUCUCUUUUCUUCUUCGUCAUUAGCUCUCGCUUCAUACAUAAAAAUCUUCUUCUUCUUCCUUGUUCUUUCUUUUUUGUGUAUGUUAUUUUUAUGUUUCACAUGAUUUUCUUCUUGCUCGAGAGUUUAUGAUUUUUUUUAGUUAUGUGUUGUUGUUAUUUUAUAUUGUUAUAUGUUGUUGUAUGUUGUUG